This 406-nucleotide ribosomal RNA is filed under the name uncultured bacterium. RNAcentral's name for it is "partial 16S ribosomal RNA". It matches the Rfam family "Bacterial small subunit ribosomal RNA", at positions 28 to 526 of the family's 1533-position model. The record is from RNAcentral.
GAUGAACGCUGACAGCAUGCUUAACACAUCAGCAACUGAUUGUUGGCGGACGGGUGAGUAACGCGUACAGAACUUGCCUCCCAGCUAGGGACAACAUUUGGAAGCGAAUGCUAAUACCUAACACUGUGAGAGAGCUUUGCGUCCAAUUAGCUAGUUGGGGAGGUAACGGCUCACCAAGGCGAGGAGGGGUAGCCGGCCUGAGAGGGUGAUCGGCCACAAGGGGACUGGGACACGGCCAUUACUCUUACGGGGGGCAGCAGUGGGGAUAAUGGGACAAUGGAGCAAAGUCUUGUCCAGCAAUUCUGUGUGCAAGAUGAAGUUUUCGGAAUGUAAAGUGCUUUCAGUGGAGGAGCGGUACCAACAGAAGAAGUAACGGCUAAAUACGUGCCAGCAGCCGCGGUAAUAC